This 468-nucleotide ribosomal RNA is filed under the name uncultured bacterium. RNAcentral describes it as "partial 16S ribosomal RNA". It matches the Rfam family "Bacterial small subunit ribosomal RNA", at positions 28 to 507 of the family's 1533-position model. The record is from RNAcentral.
GACGAACGCUGGCGGCGUGCUUAACACAUGCAAGUUGAACGGAAAGGCCCUGCUUUUGUGGGGUGCUCGAGUGGCGAACGGGUGAGUAACACGUGAGUAACCUGCCCUUGACUUUGGGAUAACUUCAGGAAACUGGGGCUAAUACCGGAUAGGAGCUCCUGCUGCAUGGUGGGGGUUGGAAAGUUUCGGCGGUUGGGGAUGGACUCGCGGCUUAUCAGCUUGUUGGUGGGGUAGUGGCUUACCAAGGCUUUGACGGGUAGCCGGCCUGAGAGGGUGACCGGCCACAUUGGGACUGAGAUACGGCCCAGACUCCUACGGGAGGCAGCAGUGGGGAAUAUUGCACAAUGGGCGGAAGCCUGAUGCAGCAACGCCGCGUGCGGGAUGACGGCCUUCGGGUUGUAAACCGCUUUCGCCUGUGACGAAGCAUGAGUGACGGUAAUGGGUAAAGAAGCACCGGCUAACUACGUG